Molecule: unclassified non-coding RNA, 239 nt
Filed under: Curvularia inaequalis
Lineage: Eukaryota; Fungi; Ascomycota; Dothideomycetes; Pleosporales; Pleosporaceae
Also listed under: 2 other names
Description: partial internal transcribed spacer region
Rfam family: Eukaryotic small subunit ribosomal RNA (bases 1-46)
Source: RNAcentral
AAGUCGUAACAAGGUCUCCGUAGGUGAACCUGCGGAGGGAUCAUUACACAAUACAAUAUGAAGGCCGUACGCGGCUGGAUUAUUUUAUUACCCUUGUCUUUUGCGCACUUGUUGUUUCCUGGGCGGGUUCGCCCGCCACCAGGACCACACCAUAAACCUUUUUUUAUGCAGUUGCAAUCAGCGUCAGUACAACAAAUGUAAAUCAUUUACAACUUUCAACAACGGAUCUCUUGGUUCUG